This is a long non-coding RNA of Asparagus officinalis (garden asparagus), 2606 nucleotides long. RefSeq lists it as uncharacterized. Lineage: Eukaryota; Viridiplantae; Streptophyta; Magnoliopsida; Asparagales; Asparagaceae. The record is from RefSeq and is a predicted model, not a curated record. The transcript has 9 exons.
UAAAGCUACACAACUGCUCAUAAAUACGGCGAGAGAUUGAAGCGAUGAAUAAUUUGAGCGCGAACCAAAAUUGAACCAGAAUCGAGAAAUUUCUCUUCGAGGGAGUUUUCUAGGGUUUUGUUCUUGUUCCCUUUUCUCCUCUUUAAAUCUCCAGCUUCAUCGGAGGAGGAAGAAGCUCUUGAAGAGGAUCGGAGGAGGAAGAAGGAAAAAGUUUGGUUCUUGAAUCAGCCGUUUUCACUCGAAUAUCUUUGACGUAUUUCCUCAAUUUGGGAAAUUUAGCGAUUCAGGGUUUGUAAGUUAUUGUUCAGCCCUGAGCUUUGGAUCCCAUCACUAAUUGCAUCAGAUCAUCUAAAAAAUUAUAUCAAUGUUGAAGCUGUCAAAUCCCAUUUUAAAAAGGUAUGUAUGUGAUCCUUUUAUUCCCGUUCAAUGACUGGCAUUGCAGGAAUUUUUUUUUACUCUUUAUUCUAACCAAGGAGUCAGUCCUCAUUUUGCAUGCUUGCAAAGGUCUAUGGAACAUAUUCAGUUCCAAUAAAUUGAUGCUAGUUCUGAUAAAAGAAAGGACUGACGUACUUUCAGCUGAAAGCAUAAUUGUCGAUCCUGCAAGGGACAUAUGGGUUCACAUGAAACUUCAGAUCUAUAAAGAAGAUCUUGCAGAAAUAUGCAUCUAAGUUUAGUAUCUUUUCAGUUAUACUCUUGUAUCUUUUAUGUAUAUCGUAUAAUUUCUUUCAAAUCUUACUUUUUGAAUAACCUUCUAUAUUUCAGGUUGUUGUUGUUGUUGAUUAUGCAGGGCAGAAGGUAACAGUUAAGCUCAUCCGAAAGAUUGAUUUACAAAACAUUGCUGCUAAGAUGGCUUGUGUGACUUCCGUUCCACUUAUUUGUAGAUGGUUAUUCUCUGUCUUCAAGUAUUCUUAUGCACUCAUUGCAUUGUAAAUUUGGCAGUAAAACAUUUUUUUUGCUUGCUAGUUAGGUUUCCUUUCCUUUACGUUCAAAGUAGUUUAUCCUCAAUUUUAUCAGGAAGGUAGGUGAAUCAGAAGAAAGAAGACAUUUGUACCUCUACCACAUUUCUUCAACAUUGAUGAAGGAUGAUACUUUCAUCACUCUUUUGUUGGCUGUGAACUUUGGUAUUUAAAGAACAAGAACUGAUACAUUUAUUUGUUUCAUUGUUUUCAAAGAGUAGGAGGGACAAAGACUGGUGAUUAUUUUGAAGCUGUGGAUAUUACUAUGUUCAAAGGAGGGUUUUUAUAUAAAAGUAUCCAUGAAAUUAGUCAGUUUCCAACAACCUGAUGAUCCUGAUGGUGAUGUGGAAAACUCGUCUGUUUUAUUUGUAAACAGAAAAAUGGUAAAUUUCUCAGGGGUGAUGAUGUUAUAGUUGUUUGAGGAGAUCUAAAAAAUCUGUUGGGUUGGGUUGAAAAAGUGGAGGAAGAGAACAUCCAUCAGACUGAAGAUGGAAGGGCUACCGUGAUAUUCAUGUAUAUGUAGGUGCUUAAAGGGGUCCCACUAGGACUGAGGUUAUGCUUGUCAAAUGGCUCAAGGAACAUAUUUCAGCAAAGGAUGUCAUGAGGGUUCUGGAGGAGUGGUAAGGGAAAGCAAGGCUCUGUCGAAUGCAUGCAUAAAUGAAUCUUGUUCAUCUAUGAUGGCCAUCACCCAGAGCAUGCUGGUUUUGUUUGUGCGUAUGCUCAGUCCUGUAUGGUCAUUGGUGGAUCGCAAGGGAACCGUCAAAGAAGUGCAUGGCUCUAGUUCUCGUCAACUCAGAGUACAGUUUAGAAAUGUUGGUGUGCUUUUUUGCUGUGUUGCAUUGGAAACUAGUGCUUGUUAUAUUUGGAGAUAUGCAGGGUUUAAAUUCCUUGGCUAAUUUGAGAUGUUCAUUUCUUCAUUCUUCUAAUGGACCAACUACAGGAUCUGCCGCAGAAAAUUAAUUCUGCAAACCUGGUGGAAGAUUUGGAUGUGACAGAGGGCAUAAUCCUUUAGCGAGUAGAAUUGUUAAAAGUCGAGCAGGUCCCUUGAAAGGAUAUCAUCGUCGUUGAAAGAAGUUACAGAUGUAUCGGUGCGUGUUGAAUUGGAUUCACAGAUGAAGAUUAUUAGAGGGAAACACCUUGAUACGGCAUGGGGAGUCAAACACCUAUGCGCUCUUUCACAGACUCUGCUGCUUCAGGCUCCAACGAAAGAUCCUGGAGCAAUACCAAUAAAUGGCGGUAUGAGGACUCAUUUGGUUAAUUGAGCAUGGGCUCCCAUGAGUCCCCUAAGAAUGUUCCGUCGUCACCUUUUAGUACACAGCAAGCUGCAUCUUGUUUCAUCUAAUAAGGAGGCUCCAAACCUUUCAAGUUUCAUGUGAGGGUCUUGUGCGCAACUAUAAUGCAAGUCAUCAUGGGCUUCCAUCCCUUUUCCUUCCUUUAUGGUUGUUAAUGUUUGGCUUUUAGGACAUUUUUUGGAAUUGACGGAAAGCGACCUCAUCAAUUCAAUUUCAACCUUAUUCCUGUGUGGGAUUGGAUCGGCAUGUAGCUUGGUUUAUGUAUGCAUAAAGCACGUUGUUGAUAAAACUAUUGCUUUGAUUUGAGGUCAUGGUCCCUUUAAGAAAACUCUAUGAUGCACACUCUGAUCUAUGCAUC